GAUGAACGCUGGCGGCGUGCCUAAUACAUGCAAGUCGAGCGAACGGACGAGAAGCUUGCUUCUCUGAUGUUAGCGGCGGACGGGUGAGUAACACGUGGAUAACCUACCUAUAAGACUGGGAUAACUUCGGGAAACCGGAGCUAAUACCGGAUAAUAUUUUGAACCGCAUGGUUCAAAAGUGAAAGACGGUCUUGCUGUCACUUAUAGAUGGAUCCGCGCUGCAUUAGCUAGUUGGUAAGGUAACGGCUUACCAAGGCAACGAUGCAUAGCCGACCUGAGAGGGUGAUCGGCCACACUGGAACUGAGACACGGUCCAGACUCCUACGGGAGGCAGCAGUAGGGAAUCUUCCGCAAUGGGCGAAAGCCUGACGGAGCAACGCCGCGUGAGUGAUGAAGGUCUUCGGAUUGUAAAACUCUGUUAUUAGGGAAGAACAUAUGUGUAAGUAACUGUGCACAUCUUGACGGUACCUAAUCAGAAAGCCACGGCUAACUACGUGCCAGCAGCCGCGGUAAUACGUAGGUGGCAAGCGUUAUCCGGAAUUAUUGGGCGUAAGCGCGCGUAGGCGGUUUUUUAGUCUGAUGUGAAAGCCCACGGCUCACCCGUGGAGGGUCAUUGGAAACUGGAAAACUUGAGUGCAGAAGAGGAAAGUGGAAUUCCAUGUGUAGCGGUGAAAUGCGCAGAGAUAUGGAGGAACACCAGUGGCGAAGGCGACUUUCUGGUCUGUAACUGACGCUGAUGUGCGAAAGCGUGGGGAUCAAACAGGAUUAGAUACCCUGGUAGUCCACGCCGUAAACGAUGAGUGCUAAGUGUUAGGGGGUUUCCGCCCCUUAGUGCUGCAGCUAACGCAUUAAGCACUCCGCCUGGGGAGUACGACCGCAAGGUUGAAACUCAAAGGAAUUGACGGGGACCCGCACAAGCGGUGGAGCAUGUGGUUUAAUUCGAAGCAACGCGAAGAACCUUACCAAAUCUUGACAUCCUUUGACAACUCUAGAGAUAGAGCUUUCCCCUUCGGGGGACAAAGUGACAGGUGGUGCAUGGUUGUCGUCAGCUCGUGUCGUGAGAUGUUGGGUUAAGUCCCGCAACGAGCGCAACCCUUAAGCUUAGUUGCCAUCAUUAAGUUGGGCACUCUAAGUUGACUGCCGGUGACAAACCGGAGGAAGGUGGGGAUGACGUCAAAUCAUCAUGCCCCUUAUGAUUUGGGCUACACACGUGCUACAAUGGACAAUACAAAGGGCAGCGAAACCGUGAGGUCAAGCAAAUCCCAUAAAGUUGUUCUCAGUUCGGAUUGUAGUCUGCAACUCGACUACAUGAAGCUGGAAUCGCUAGUAAUCGUAGAUCAGCAUGCUACGGGAAUANAAAUGCCGGGUCU
Molecule: ribosomal RNA, 1370 nt
Filed under: uncultured bacterium
Lineage: Bacteria
Description: bacterial SSU rRNA
Rfam family: Bacterial small subunit ribosomal RNA
Source: RNAcentral